AUUGGACGCUGGCGGCAUGCUUUACACAUGCAAGUCGAGCGGUAACAGGCCUUCGGGUGCUGACGAGUGGCGAACGGGUGAGUAAUGCAUCGGAACGUACCCAGAGGUGGGGGAUAACGCAGCGAAAGCUGUGCUAAUACCGCAUGUGAUCUGAGGAUGAAAGCGGGGGACCGAGCAGCAAUGUUUGGCCUCGCGCCUUUGGAGCGGCCGAUGUCGGAUUAGCUAGUUGGUGGGGUAAAGGCCUACCAAGGCGACGAUCCGUAGCUGGUCUGAGAGGACGACCAGCCACACUGGGACUGAGACACGGCCCAGACUCCUACGGGAGGCAGCAGUGGGGAAUUUUGGACAAUGGGCGCAAGCCUGAUCCAGCAAUGCCGCGUGCGGGAAGAAGGCCUUCGGGUUGUAAACCGCUUUUGGCAGGAACGAAACGGUGUCCGCUAAUACCGGGCGCUAAUGACGGUACCUGCAGAAUAAGCACCGGCUAACUACGUG
RNAcentral lists this ribosomal RNA (492 nucleotides) under uncultured bacterium. RNAcentral's name for it is "partial 16S ribosomal RNA". It matches the Rfam family "Bacterial small subunit ribosomal RNA", at positions 29 to 507 of the family's 1533-position model. The record is from RNAcentral.